GUGAAUCAUCGAAUUUUUGAACGCACAUUGCGCUCUUUUGUAUGCCUAUGCCUGUUCGAGGUUCAGACUCAAUAAAAUCGACAUCGUUGCUGUUUCGCGGUGCCAUUCGUCGGAAAUUGGGUCAUCUUACACCUUUCGGUUUUAAGCGGCUUACAAUUUUCUUUACGAUUCCACGAAUGUUUCUAAAAGUUU
This 192-nucleotide unclassified non-coding RNA is filed under the name Glomus sp. RNAcentral's name for it is "partial internal transcribed spacer 2". Lineage: Eukaryota; Fungi; Glomeromycota; Glomeromycetes; Glomerales; Glomeraceae. The record is from RNAcentral.